Molecule: ribosomal RNA, 413 nt
Filed under: Christiangramia sp.
Lineage: Bacteria; Pseudomonadati; Bacteroidota; Flavobacteriia; Flavobacteriales; Flavobacteriaceae
Description: bacterial SSU rRNA
Rfam family: Bacterial small subunit ribosomal RNA
Source: RNAcentral
GUGCCAGCAGCCGCGGUAAUACGGAGGAUCCAAGCGUUAUCCGGAAUCAUUGGGUUUAAAGGGUCCGUAGGCGGGAUGAUAAGUCAGUGGUGAAAGUCUGCAGCUCAACUGUAGAAUUGCCAUUGAUACUGUUGUUCUUGAAUGAUUAUGAAGUGGUUGGAAUGUGUAGUGUAGCGGUGAAAUGCAUAGAUAUUACACAGAACACCUAUUGCGAAGGCAGAUCACUAAUAAUGUAUUGACGCUGAUGGACGAAAGCGUAGGUAGCGAACAGGAUUAGAUACCCUGGUAGUCUACGCCGUAAACGAUGGUUACUAGCUGUCCGGCCCGAUUGAGGGCUGGGUGGCCAAGCGAAAGUGAUAAGUAACCCACCUGGGGAGUACGUUCGCAAGAAUGAAACUCAAAGGAAUUGACGG